GUGCUCGCUUUGGCAGCACAUAUACUAAAGUUGGAACAACACAGAGAAGAUUAGCAUGGCCCCUGUGCAAGGAUGACAUGCAAAUUCGUGAAGCAUUCUAUAU
This 103-nucleotide small nuclear RNA is filed under the name Cervus elaphus hippelaphus. The record is from RNAcentral. Lineage: Eukaryota; Metazoa; Chordata; Mammalia; Artiodactyla; Cervidae.